GGACUACCAGGGUAUCUAAUCCUGUUUGAUCCCCACGCUUUCGUGCCUCAGCGUCAAUCAUACUUUAGUAAGCUGCCUUCGCAAUCGGUGUUCUGUGACAUAUCUAUGCAUUUCACCGCUACUUGUCACAUUCCGCCUACUUCAAGUACAUUCAAGCUCAUCAGUAUCAAGGGCACUGCGAUAGUUGAGCUACCGUCUUUCACCCCUGACUUAAUAAGCCGCCUACGCACCCUUUAAACCCAAUAAAUCCGGAUAACGCUUGGAUCCUCCGUAUUACCGCGGCGGCUGGCAC
This 292-nucleotide ribosomal RNA is filed under the name uncultured Bacteroidota bacterium. Its description in RNAcentral is "uncultured Bacteroidetes bacterium partial 16S ribosomal RNA". Lineage: Bacteria; Pseudomonadati; Bacteroidota. The record is from RNAcentral.